Molecule: non-coding RNA, 194 nt
Organism: Cricetulus griseus (Chinese hamster)
Lineage: Eukaryota; Metazoa; Chordata; Mammalia; Rodentia; Cricetidae
Source: RefSeq, a predicted model, not a curated record
GUACAGACUGCUGCCCGCUGGCUGCCUAGGUUGCUCUGCAGACAAUGAUAUUAAAAGAAAAUGAUGACCAUCCCAGGAGUGGUAGCUAGCCUGACUUCACAGCUCCCCACUACACUGGAUCCACCACUCUCCGAAAAGAAAAUGCAUCCAAUGGAUAACACCGUAAGAGGACAACACAAGAAACAGUAAGGCAA